CGCUGUCCUUUGCCGCCAGUGAUUGCAGUGGUGGUGAUGGUGGCAACUUUUUAUUCGACGGUGCUUUGGGAGGAGGAGGCGCUAUUGAUGGCGGUGGAGAGGGAGGAGGUGAAGGUGGCGGAGGUGGACUUGGAGAUGGCGGCUUGGGGGGGGAAGGAGGCAAGGGAGGAGGUGGUGGGGGGGGUGGACUUGGAGAUGGCGGCGGUGGGGGCGGAGGCGAGGGAGGAGGUGAAGGUGGGGGGGGUGGACUUGGAGAUGGCGGCUUGGGGGGGGAGGCGGCGAGGGAGGAGGUGAAGGUGGCGGGGGCGGAGUUGGAGAUGGCGGCGGUGGGGGCGGUGGCGAGGGAGGAGGUGAAGGUGGGGGGGGUGGACUUGGAGAUGGCGGCG
RNAcentral lists this long non-coding RNA (386 nucleotides) under Volvox carteri. RNAcentral describes it as "long non-coding RNA (VCAR_LNC002870)". The record is from RNAcentral. Lineage: Eukaryota; Viridiplantae; Chlorophyta; Chlorophyceae; Chlamydomonadales; Volvocaceae.